AAACAAUCUAGUUACACCCUUUAAUUUAUUUAAAAAUGUACAAUUAAAUUAUUAUUGACUAUAGUCAUUCUGUUGUGCUAUCUAAUAGUAGGUCUUAUUCAUCCUUUUCUUUUUGUACCAAUUAACCAUCCCCCACCUCUCCCCCAUGUACACACCCCCACCGCCAAUCUUCUUUUUUUUCUAGUCCAAGGAACACCACCCCUUACUUGCCGACUUCCGAAGGUCACCGGGAGCGGGUUCUCAGCCUCUCUCAAGCCCUGGCUACUGAGGCGUCGCAGUGGCACAGAAUGAUGACAGGUGGAAAUUUGGACUCCCAGGGAGACUCUCUUCCGGGUGUGCCGCUGCCUCCUUCGGACCCCACGCUCCAGGAGACCCCUCCCCCGAGAUCUCCCCCGGUGGCUAAUUCGGGUUCCACGGGGUUCUCUCGCCGAGGGAGUGGGCGUGGAGGAGGUCCCGCCCCCUGGGGGCCCGCGUGGGAUGCCGGGAUCGCCCCUCCGGUCCUGCCACAAGAUGAGGGGGCGUGGCCUCUGCGAGUCACUCUGCUACAGUCCAGCUUCUAACCCGCCCAAACGCGGCAACCAAUCGGAGCGCGAGGACGGGGUCUGGAGGUACCGCCGGAGAUCUGGGACCACUCAGGGCAUCAGGGGGCGUGGUCUGGUCCCCAUU
This 666-nucleotide small RNA is filed under the name Pongo abelii (Sumatran orangutan). RNAcentral's name for it is "retained intron". The record is from RNAcentral. Lineage: Eukaryota; Metazoa; Chordata; Mammalia; Primates; Hominidae.